Molecule: ribosomal RNA, 508 nt
Filed under: Epiphloeus duodecimmaculatus
Lineage: Eukaryota; Metazoa; Arthropoda; Insecta; Coleoptera; Cleridae
Description: partial 16S ribosomal RNA
Rfam family: Bacterial large subunit ribosomal RNA (bases 385-508)
Source: RNAcentral
UGUCUUUUUGAUUAUAAUUUAAAGUCUAAUCUGCCCACUGAGUUAUUAAAUGGCCGCGGUAUUUUGACCGUGCAAAGGUAGCAUAAUAAUUAGUUUUUUAAUUGAAAGCUGGAAUGAAUGAUUGGAUGAGAAAAUAACUGUCUCAAAUAAAUUUUUAUAAAACUUUAUUUUUAAGUUAAAAAGCUUAAAUAUUGUUUAAAGACGAGAAGACCCUAUAGAGUUUAAUAAAUUCAAUUUUUUAUAUUUAUAGUUUUUUAUAUUUAAAUUUAUUUAAUUUAUUUUGUUGGGGUGAUAGAAAAAUUAAAAAAACUUUUUUUAAAUUUAUUCAUUUUUAAAUGUUUAAUUGAUCCAUUAUUAGUGAUUAAAAGAUUAAAUUACCUUAGGGAUAACAGCGUAAUUUUUUUUGAGAGUUCUAAUCGAAAAAAAAGAUUGCGACCUCGAUGUUGGAUUAAAGUUAAUUUUUGGUGUAGAAGCUAAAAUAUUAGGUCUGUUCGACCUUUAAAACUUU